AUCUUUCUAGUACAAACUCAGUAUAAGUGACUUCCAAUCACCCGGUCUUGGCUGCACCCAAGGAAAGAUA
Molecule: transfer RNA, 70 nt
Filed under: Bertella idiomorpha
Lineage: Eukaryota; Metazoa; Chordata; Actinopteri; Lophiiformes; Oneirodidae
Description: tRNA-Gly
Source: RNAcentral